AUGAACGCUAGCUACAGGCUUAACACAUGCAAGUCGAGGGCAGCAUGGUCUUAGCUUGCUAAGGCCGAUGGACGACCGGCGCACGGGUGAGUAACACGUAUCCAACCUGCCGUCUACUCUUGGACAGCCUUCUGAAAGGAAGAUUAAUACAAGAUGGCAUCAUGAGUCCGCAUGUUCACAUGAUUAAGGUAUUUCGGUUAUCGAUGGGAUGCGUUCCAUUAGUUGUUGGCGGGUAACGGCCACCAAGACUACGAUGGAUAGGGGUUCUGAGAGGAAGGUCCCCCACAUUGGAACUGAGACACGGUCCAAACUCCUACGGGAGGCAGCAGUGAGGAAUAUUGGUCAAUGGACGAGAGUCUGAACCAGCCAAGUAGCGUGAAGGAUGACUGCCCUAUGGGUUGUAAACUUCUUUUAUAUGGGAAUAAAGUAUUCCACGUGUGGGAUUUUGUAUGUACCAUAUGAAUAAGGAUAGGCUAACUCCGUG
Molecule: ribosomal RNA, 484 nt
Filed under: uncultured bacterium
Lineage: Bacteria
Description: bacterial SSU rRNA
Rfam family: Bacterial small subunit ribosomal RNA
Source: RNAcentral